AUACGGAGGGUGCAAGCGUUGUUCGGAAUCACUGGGCGUAAAGGGCGCGCAGGCGGUUUUACAAGUCAGAUGUGAAAGCCCACGGCUCAACCGUGGAAGUGCAUUUGAAACUGUAAGACUUGAGUAUCAGAGGGGAAGGUGGAAUUCCCGGUGUAGAGGUGAAAUUCGUAGAUAUCGGGAGGAAUACCGGUGGCGAAGGCGACUUUCUGGCUGAAUACUGACGCUGAGGCGCGAAAGCGUGGGAAGCAAACAGGAUUAGAUACCCUAGUAGUCC
Molecule: ribosomal RNA, 274 nt
Filed under: uncultured bacterium
Lineage: Bacteria
Description: partial 16S ribosomal RNA
Rfam family: Bacterial small subunit ribosomal RNA
Source: RNAcentral